This 709-nucleotide transfer RNA is filed under the name Bradyrhizobium sp. TUTCSA3B. Its description in RNAcentral is "partial 16S-23S ribosomal RNA intergenic spacer". The stretch from base 75 to 148 matches the Rfam family "tRNA". The record is from RNAcentral. Lineage: Bacteria; Pseudomonadati; Pseudomonadota; Alphaproteobacteria; Hyphomicrobiales; Nitrobacteraceae.
CUCUUUCUUCGCGGACGAACACGCGCUGGGCCUGCAACGGCAGGAUCCAGGGUCCUUAACGGGAUGUGCGUUAGGGGCUUGUAGCUCAGUUGGUUAGAGCGCGCGCUUGAUAAGCGUGAGGUCGGAAGUUCAAGUCUUCCCAGGCCCACCACUUUCAUCGAGUGAGCAUUCGUCUUCUGGUUACGGGGCCAUAGCUCAGCUGGGAGAGCGCGUGCUUUGCAAGCAUGAGGUCGUCGGUUCGAUCCCGUCUGGCUCCACCAGAUGGUUUGAUCACCGAGAUCUUGACCGUCGUCCGCGAAACAUCACUUCGCAUCCUGCUAGUCUGGAUAGACAGCAGUUUGCGUGUUUUCUGACAUCGUAAAGAGGAGAUCGAUCCGAGUUGGGUCGUGCAGCAUAUCGUUGCGCGAGCCUUCAUUAUCUCCGGAUCAUUUCGGCGCUCGCUUCCAGCCGUGAGGUUGGAUGCGGGUUGUAAAUGAUCCUUUUAGCGAAGCUUGACCGCCUCGCUAUCGGAACGAUCUUACGAAGCAAGCUGGUCUUUCUAGUCAAUGUCCGGCUGCGGAUAGCGUUCAUCGAGGGCGCGUGCCGCAAGGCAAUUCUGCAGACAACAUUCUGCCGAGUGUGUGGACAUUGAUAAUGAGAGCAAUCAAGUGCCUUAAGGGUGUUCGGUGGAUGCCUUGGCGCUGAGAGGCGAUGAAGGACGUGCUACGCU